UCCCCACACCGGUGAGAAUGCCCUUAACAUCAAUUUAGAUCAAGAGGAGCAGGCAUUAAGCACACUAUUUAGUAGCUCAAGAUGCCUUGCUUAACCACACCCCCAAGGGAAACAGCAGUGAUAGAAAUUUAGCAAUGAACGCAAGUUUGACUAAGUUAUGCUACUCUAGGGUUGGUAAAUUUCGUGCCAGCCACCGCGGUCAUACGAUUAACCCAAACUAAUAAAUUCCCGGCGUAAAGCGUGAUUUAAAAUCAAAUAACAACUAAGCUGUAAAAAGUAAUAGUUACAAACAAAAAUAAACAACGAAAGUGAUUUUAUAACCUUCGAACUCACGAUAGCUAAGACCCAAACUGGGAUUAGAUACCCCACUAUGCUUAGCCCUAAACUUAAAUAAUUCCAUAACAAAAUUACUCGCCAGAGAACUACAAGCCAGAGCUUAAAACUCAAAGGACUUGGCGGUGCUUUAUACCCACCUAGAGGAGCCUGUUCUAUAAUCGAUAAACCCCGAUAAACCUUACCACUCUUUGCCAACUCAGCCUAUAUACCGCCAUCUUCAGCGAACCCUAAAAAGGAACAAAAGUAAGCUCAAUUAUCCCCAUAAAAACGUUAGGUCAAGGUGUAGCCUAUAGAGUGGAAAGUAAUGGGCUACAUUUUCUACUUCAGAACAUACGAAAGCCCUUAUGAAACUCUAAGAGCCAAAGGAGGAUUU
This 709-nucleotide ribosomal RNA is filed under the name Sylvilagus floridanus (eastern cottontail). RNAcentral describes it as "partial 12S ribosomal RNA". It matches the Rfam family "Bacterial small subunit ribosomal RNA", at positions 305 to 1290 of the family's 1533-position model. The record is from RNAcentral. Lineage: Eukaryota; Metazoa; Chordata; Mammalia; Lagomorpha; Leporidae.